UACGGGGGGGGCAAGCGUUGUUCGGAAUUACUGGGCGUAAAGGGCUAGUAGGUGGCCAACUAAGUCAGACGUGAAAUCCCUCAGCUUAACUGGGGAACUGCGUCUGAUACUGGAUGGCUUGAGUUUGGGAGAGGGAUGCGGAAUUCCAGGUGUAGCGGUGAAAUGCGUAGAUAUCUGGAGGAACACCGGUGGCGAAGGCGGCAUCCUGGACCAAUACUGACACUGAGGAGCGAAAGCCAGGGGAGCAAACGGG
This 253-nucleotide ribosomal RNA is filed under the name uncultured bacterium. RNAcentral describes it as "partial 16S ribosomal RNA". It matches the Rfam family "Bacterial small subunit ribosomal RNA", at positions 524 to 776 of the family's 1533-position model. The record is from RNAcentral.